This 424-nucleotide ribosomal RNA is filed under the name uncultured bacterium. Its description in RNAcentral is "bacterial SSU rRNA". It matches the Rfam family "Bacterial small subunit ribosomal RNA", at positions 355 to 770 of the family's 1533-position model. The record is from RNAcentral.
UGAGGAAUCUUGCGCAAUGGGGGAAACCCUGACGCAGCAACGCCGCGUGAGUGAGGAAGGUCUUCGGGUCGUAAAGCUCUGUCAGGCGGGAAGAAAUGCAUGGAGGUGAACGGCCGCCAUGCUUGACGGUACCGCCAGAGGAAGCACCGGCUAACUCCGUGCCAGCAGCCGCGGUAAUACGGGGGGUGCAAGCGUUGUUCGGAAUCAUUGGGCGUAAAGAGCGUGUAGGCGGCUUGGUAAGUCAGAUGUGAAAGCCCUGGGCUCAACGCGGGAAGUGCAUUUGAAACUGCCAGGCACGAGUAGGGGAGAGGGAAGUGGAAUUCCUGGUGUAGAGGUGAAAUUCGUAGAUAUCAGGAGGAACACCGGUGGCGAAGGCGACUUCCUGGCCCUAUACUGACGCUGAGACGCGAGAGCGUGGGUAGCA